This 253-nucleotide ribosomal RNA is filed under the name uncultured bacterium. RNAcentral describes it as "partial 16S ribosomal RNA". It matches the Rfam family "Bacterial small subunit ribosomal RNA", at positions 524 to 776 of the family's 1533-position model. The record is from RNAcentral.
UACGUAGGUGGCGAGCGUUAUCCGGAAUUAUUGGGCGUAAAGCGCGCGCAGGCGGUUUCUUAAGUCUGAUGUGAAAGCCCACGGCUCAACCGUGGAGGGUCAUUGGAAACUGGGAGACUUGAGUGCAGAAGAGAAGAGUGGAAUUCCACGUGUAGCGGUGAAAUGCGUAGAGAUGUGGAGGAACACCAGUGGCGAAGGCGACUCUGUGGUCUGUAACUGACGCUGAGGCGCGAAAGCGUGGGGAGCAAACAGG